GGUCCUGGGUCACUUUGAGAAGCCACUUAUCCUGGAACUUUGCAAACACAUGGUGUUUGUGUAGCUUCUGGAAGGGGAGUACGUCUUCCGGCCAGGGGAGCCAGAUACCAGCAUCUAUGUGGUGCAGGACGGGCGGCUGGAGGUCUACAUCCAGGAUUCGUGUGAAAUCAAGUGGAGUAUCUGGAUUAUUCUCAGGAGUGUCUCUGUGCACAGAUAAGCCUCCUCCAGCUCCAUUUUGCACCACCGUCUUAUGCAAAUUUCCUUGUAUGUCUUCUCCCCUGAGCGGCGAGGCCACCUGUGUAGGCCAGCACACCGCGGAGAGAAACGUGGUGAGCCAAACUAUGGGCCUUCGGAGUGCAAAAUUUAAAUUUUUUGUUCUUUGGAGGAAAAGGCACAUUGGACCACAGCUGCCCUUGAAGCAGGUGUGUCAGCUUCUGCUGUACAGGGGCUGCGCGUGGUGGCUCACCUCUGCAUUUCCCCAGACACAUUGCAAGCACUUUUUAAAAAUUAAUUAAUUUAUUUAUUUAUUUAUUUUUGGCUGUGUUGGAUCUUUGUUGCUGUGCGUGGGCUUUCUCUAGUUGCAGCGAGCAGGGGCUACUCUUUGUUGCGGUGCGUGGGCUUCUCACUGCUGUGGCUUCUCUUGUUGCAGAGCACAGGCUCUAGGUGCGCAGGGUUCAGUAGUUGUGGCUCGCGGACUCUAGAGCGGAGGCUCGGUAGUUGUGGCACAUGGGCUUCGUUGCUCCGUGGCAUGUGGGAUCUUCCCGGACCAGGGCUCGAACCCGUGUCCCCUGCGUUGGCAGGCGGACUCUCAACCACUGCGCCACCAGGGAAGCCCACAUCACAAGCAUCUUGCCGUGUCUCUCCCACUGCCUUGGAACCCCUCAGUGGUUGGGUAUUGAUCUAUGAUGAUCAUUAGCACCCUUGCCUUAUUUUUGGGUUUCAGGCUGUAAAUAGUUUUAACUCUAAGAAAAUAAUUCAGCUGGAAGCUACCUCUUUGUUUCCUGCCUUUGUUGACUUAUAUGCUUGAGUCACAGUUGCCAGGGCCACCUAUAGACCCGGACUCCUGAGGGCUUGUGGGUUUAUUUGCCUGCUGGUGGGUGACGCAGCCUCCCGCCGCAGACACAGUGAACCCUGGAGUUCACAAGGUCGCCCCCACCCUGGCCACGUGACGUUCCCGCCUGCCGGGCCCUGGGUGGGCCCUGACCUCGCACAGCUCCUGCAUGGUCUUUGGGCUGCUAGACCACAGUGUCGUCAGGGUACAGGUCUCACGUGUGUCUCUUUGUCUGCGGGUGACCUGGUGGGACAAUUAGAAAAGGCAUGGCUUUCGUCCAGUCUCCUCGGGGCGGGGCCUCCAUGUCAUCCACCUGGCAGGCCUUCACCAAGAGGGCCGGAGCCUUUGGGCCAGAUGGAAGGGCUCCUGGACAGUGAGACCAGUGCCAGGUUUGAAGAAGUUCACAGCGGUUCCCUGGGUCACACUGAGGUGAAGUUCCCAUACUAAAUCACCAGCAUCACAUGGUUUUCUUUUUCUUUUAAUCCAGUGGAAAAAUAUGUCAAAAUGCUAUUAUUUAUACUGGUGGCUAGGGUUUGCAUUUCCCUAAUGACUAAAGAUGUUGAGCACCUUUUCAUGUGUUCAUUGGCCUGUUGUGAACCUUUUUCAUUUGAUGUAGAAAUGAUCACUUUCAAAAGCUUUGAUUUAGAGCUAUUGUUAAUUUGUAAUUGUGAUAAUUGUAUCAUUGUUGUGAUAUUUUAGAGAUACGAGUUCAACUAUUAAUGGAUAAAAUGCUAUGUUUGGGAUUGUCUUCAAAAUUUUGGGGGUAUGUGUGUGAAAUAAGAUGGGUGGAGCUGGGUGAUGGGAAGGGGGGGUCCACUGUACUCUUCUCUCUACUUUCGUGUAUCUUUGAAAUUUUCCAUAAUAAAAUGUGGUUUGUAAAAUUAACUCCAGUUGGGCUUCCCUGGUGGCGCAGUGGUUGAGAGUCCACCUGCCGAUGCAGGGGACACGGGUUCGUGCCCCAGUCUGGGAAGAUCCCACGUGCCGCGGAGCGGCUGGGCCCGUGAGCCAUGGCCGCUGAGCCUGCGCGUCCAG
Molecule: long non-coding RNA, 2083 nt
Filed under: Monodon monoceros (narwhal)
Lineage: Eukaryota; Metazoa; Chordata; Mammalia; Artiodactyla; Monodontidae
Description: lncRNA (ENSMMNG00015014178.1)
Source: RNAcentral